GACGAACGCUGGCGGCGUGCUUAACACAUGCAAGUCGAACGAAGUGGCGAACGGGUGAGUAACGCGUAAUCAACCUGCCCUUCAGCGGGGGACAACAGUUGGAAACGACUGCUAAUACCUCAUACUGAGGGAGGGGAUUGCGUCUGAUUAGCUAGUUGGAGGGGUAACGGCCCACCAAGGUGAGGAUCAGGAGCCGGGCUGAGAGGAUGAACGGCCACAUUGGGACUGGGACACGGCCCAGACUCCUACGGGAGGCAGCAGUGGGGAAUCUUCCGCAAUGGACGAAAGUCUUACGGAGCAAAGCCGCGUGAGUGAUGACGGCCUUCGGGUUGUAAAGCUCUGUUAAUCGGGACGCGGUACCGGAAUAGAAAGCCACGGCUAACUACGUGCCAGCAGCCGCGGUAAUUC
This 408-nucleotide ribosomal RNA is filed under the name uncultured bacterium. RNAcentral's name for it is "partial 16S ribosomal RNA". It matches the Rfam family "Bacterial small subunit ribosomal RNA", at positions 28 to 526 of the family's 1533-position model. The record is from RNAcentral.